AAAAAUAGAGUGGUAAGUUUCUUUCUAUCUAUAAUUUUUCGUUCUCUGCUUUCACAAGGCGAAAACCCUUACCAAUUGUCUUAUAUAUUGUGAUUUUUUGUAUUGAUGUAUCUAUCUAGUUUUGGUUCAUAUAGUUAUCAUAGUUAGAACCAUAUGUAUCCCUAGCUAAUCAAUUUGUCGGCAUGGUUUUUAAACAUUUCUUUUGCCCUAGGAGGGAAAAAGAGCAAUAAAAACCUUGCCUUUGCUUGAAGGGACGAAUUCAAAGCCUUUAAAAGUAUAUUUGAACUUUGAUCGAAAUUGCUAUAUCAAAUUUUGGAAAGGACCUUUUACCUAUGCACUAUUUAAUAGUAUCCAACCAUGAAUAAAGAAGUUCUCAGAUUUAUCUUUUUCCUUAUUUGUGUAGUCUCUUGGUUGCAUUUUUAUCAUUGAUAUGCUAUUUUCAACAUCAUACGGUAUGAGACUUUUAGUUGCCACAUCAAGACGGUGACUAUUGUGGCGACUUUUGGUUGCAGCUGAAGAUAUAAAUUAAAUAGUUUUGUGGCCAAAAAACCCACUCUUUAGUGGCGACUUUAUCAAAGUGUAAUUGGUCUGAUGACAUUUUCGCUUACUUUUUAAACCUUUAAGUUACAACUACUUGCUACGGUGCAAAAGUCGCCCCUGAAAACCUUUAGCGACGGCAUUUUGGGUUAUUGUAGCGAUUUCCGUUGCGACUAAAAGUGUAAUUCUUUCUAGGGUUAAAAUGUCAAAUUUAUAGAUGAUAGAAUGUUAAGUAUAUCACAACAGAGCACAAAUGUUCUUAAAUGAAAAAUCUACAUUAGAUUAAAUGUUACAUUUAUUCUGUUAUGAUUAAUGCUACAUUUACUCUGUGUGAAUGUUAAUCCUCUGCAUUGACCUCUCGGAUUCUUAUUCCAAUUAAUUGAAGACUACAUUUCUAUUGUUAAACAAGGAACUUGCUUGCUUCAUUGAAAGCGGAAGAUUUAGCAUUUAAAUGAUUUUAAAAAAAUAUUGAUUGAUUGUCCACUCUCAACUUGGGUUAGAUGACAAUAAGUUGUAGUAAUAUAAUAGAGCAGUACACUUUCAUUGAACUUAUUUAGCAUGAUCUAAUGUCUUCCUAUUUUAAGAAAAAUUCAAUCCAAUUUUUUUGAAGUCUUGUUACAUGUUCUUCAAUCGCUAAUUCAAACUCUUCAAAUGAUGUGGCUGUGCUAGGUGACUUGUCUAUGAUAGCAAAGGGUUUAUCCAUACCUAAAAGUUUUUAGUUUCUCUCUUAUUGCAUAUUCGCAUCUUGGACAGCCUUUAUCAUGCAAGUUCACUUUUUUUCUCCAAUUAACUAUUAAUCUUGUAGCGUUUUGUUUAUCCUAAAGAAUACCCCCUAUUUCUAGUUUUGUAUGAGUAGAGAAACACUAAGUUGAGC
Molecule: long non-coding RNA, 1411 nt
Filed under: Solanum tuberosum (potato)
Lineage: Eukaryota; Viridiplantae; Streptophyta; Magnoliopsida; Solanales; Solanaceae
Description: long non-coding RNA (STUB_LNC002241)
Source: RNAcentral